UGUGUGACUGACAAGCUGUGAGGUGACUCC
Molecule: non-coding RNA, 30 nt
Filed under: Homo sapiens (human)
Lineage: Eukaryota; Metazoa; Chordata; Mammalia; Primates; Hominidae
Source: RNAcentral